RNAcentral lists this unclassified non-coding RNA (520 nucleotides) under uncultured Entrophospora. Its description in RNAcentral is "SSU rRNA". It matches the Rfam family "Eukaryotic small subunit ribosomal RNA", at positions 569 to 1087 of the family's 1831-position model. Lineage: Eukaryota; Fungi; Glomeromycota; Glomeromycetes; Entrophosporales; Entrophosporaceae. The record is from RNAcentral.
AGCAGCCGCGGUAAUUCCAGCUCCAAUAGCGUAUAUUAAAGUUGUUGCAGUUAAAAGCUCGUAGUUGAAUUUCGGGAUUGGCGCAUCGGUCGUGCCUCACGGGGUAUGAACUGGUGCAGUCAAUUUCUCACCUUCUGGAGAACCGCGAUGUCCUUAAUUGGAUGCCGCGGGGAACCAGGACCUUUACUUUGAAAAAUUGAGUGUUUAAAGCAGGCUAUUUUUGCUUGAAUACAUUAGCAUGGAAUAAUAAAAUAGGACGGCAUGGUUCUAUUUUGUUGGUUUCUAGGACCACCGUAAUGAUUAAUAGGGAUAGUUGGGGGCAUUAGUAUUCAAUUGUCAGAGGUGAAAUUCUUGGAUUUAUUGAAGACUAACUACUGCGAAAGCAUUUGCCAAGGAUGUUUUCAUUAAUCAAGAACGAAAGUUAGGGAUACGAAGACGGUCAGAUACCGUCGUAGUCUUAACCAUAAACUAUGCCGACUAGGAAUCAGACGAUGUUAAUUUUUAUGUAUCGUUGGCUAAC